AACCACAGAAAGCAUCUGGAACAGCCCUCCGGUGGCAUUUUUGGUGAUGGUUCCUUAUAUCCUCGCUCCAAACGAUUUGAGGCCAGUGGUUCUUACUGAGGAGUCUCCUCUGGUGCUGGAGCUGGCAUCUGGGAUCUCCGUGGGCCUGUUAGAUCCUAGACCUACAGAUCGCUCAGCUAAAAGGGACCUGGGAGAUCGAAUGGAGCCCGUUAAAUCACGUCACGGAGAAAACGACUGACUUUGCUACUUCAGUGAAAUUAUCACAUCAGUCACCAGCUCAUCUCCCAUGCCUCCGACAACAGAGCGAGGGAGGGUCGGGGGCGCCGCGAAUGGCUCCUGAGACCCACUGAGGACGUGCAUCACAUGUCUUCUGGCUGCUCUCUGAGGAGAUGGAAUGCAGAUGGCUCCAAUGAACUCAGCCCCAUGGGAUGACACCGUGCCAGGAUGCAGGAUGCAUGGUGACAAAUUUCAGGUACUCCAACCCAAAGACCAGGUGGCUCAGAGGAGAAUCUGUGGAAGGAAUCAGGCUGGGAGCUGUUCAGGGCCAGAAACCUUCCUUCUCUUUUACAGAUGGGGGAAACUGAGGCUCAGAGAGGGAUACAACUUGGUUAAGGUACCACAGUUGGUUGUGACUGACCUAUGCCUGAACCCCAGCUCUCCUGACCCCUAAGCUGACAGUCUUUCCACCCACUGUGUGUGGCCAAUGCGGCCUCAAGGUUGUUUAAAUCUCCUCUGCAGCUGACCAUGUUGGUAAAUCCGGAUCAGAGAGGAAACAGAAUCAUCCAACAUGUACAGGCGCUGGCUCUACCCGUUAUCUGCAGGCCCACACAUCUGCACGCUGCCCUUCUUAGCACGUUCAUGGGCCUUUCUGCGGGGUCGGAAGAUCUGGGUUCAAAUGUUACAUCUGCUACUCACCAGCUGUGUGACCUUGGCCAAAUUCAUCAACGCUUUGAACCCCAAAAGGAGCAGAGCAGCAUGAGAGAAGCUUACGAAAACCAGGCUUGAAAGGUUUAGCUAAAAGAGCCACUUUCCAAAUGGACGCUCCAGGCUCAGAGAGGGGGGCUUCCGUUGUUUCACUUCA
Molecule: long non-coding RNA, 1081 nt
Filed under: Homo sapiens (human)
Lineage: Eukaryota; Metazoa; Chordata; Mammalia; Primates; Hominidae
Description: HSALNT0002433
Source: RNAcentral